RNAcentral lists this ribosomal RNA (422 nucleotides) under uncultured bacterium. Its description in RNAcentral is "bacterial SSU rRNA". It matches the Rfam family "Bacterial small subunit ribosomal RNA", at positions 355 to 774 of the family's 1533-position model. The record is from RNAcentral.
UGAGGAAUAUUGGGCAAUGCCCGCAAGGGUGACCCAGCAACGCCGCGUGGAGGAUGAAUGUCGUAAGAUUGUAAACUCCUGUUAGAGGGGAAGAAUAGUACCGGUUGGACCGGUAUAUGACUGUACCCUCAGAGGAAGCCCCGGCUAACUACGUGCCAGCAGCCGCGGUAAUACGUAGGGGGCAAGCGUUGUCCGGAUUUACUGGGUGUAAAGGGCGCGCAGGCGGGAUAAAAAGUCAGUGGUGAAAUCCUACAGCUUAACUGUAGAACUGCCUUUGAUACUUUUAUUCUUGAGUUCGGGAGAGAGAGACGGAAUUCCGGGUGUAGUGGUGAAAUACGUAGAUAUCUGGAAGAACACCAGUUGCGAAGGCGGUCUCUUGGUCCGACACUGACGCUGAGGCGCGAAAGCGUGGGGAGCAAACA